AGUGAACGCUGGCGGUAGGCCUAACACAUGCAAGUCGGACGGCAGCACAGGAGAGCUUGCUCUCUGGGUGGCGAGUGGCGGACGGGUGAGGAAUACAUCGGAAUCUACUCUGUCGUGGGGGAUAACGUAGGGAAACUUACGCUAAUACCGCAUACGACCUACGGGUGAAAGCAGGGGACCUACGGGCCUUGCGCGAUUGAAUGAGCCGCUGGCGGAUUAGCUAGUUGGAGGGGUAAAGGCCCACCAAGGCGACGAUCCGUAGCUGGUCUGAGAGGAUGAUCAGCCACGAUGGAACUGAGACACGGUCCAGACACCUACGGGAGGCGGAAGUGGGGAAUAAUGAACAAUGGGCGCAAGCCUGAUCCAGCCAUACCGCGUGGGGUAAGAAGGCCUUCGAGUUGUAAAGCCCUUUUGUUGGGAAAGAAAUCCAGCUGGCGAAUACCCGGUUGGGAUGACGGUACCCAAAGAAUAAGCACCGGCUAACUUCGUGCCAGCAGCCGCAGUAA
RNAcentral lists this ribosomal RNA (506 nucleotides) under uncultured bacterium. Its description in RNAcentral is "partial 16S ribosomal RNA". It matches the Rfam family "Bacterial small subunit ribosomal RNA", at positions 29 to 523 of the family's 1533-position model. The record is from RNAcentral.